RNAcentral lists this long non-coding RNA (4315 nucleotides) under Cucumis sativus (cucumber). RNAcentral's name for it is "long non-coding RNA (CSAT_LNC001360)". The record is from RNAcentral. Lineage: Eukaryota; Viridiplantae; Streptophyta; Magnoliopsida; Cucurbitales; Cucurbitaceae.
UCAUAUAUAUACUAUCUGAGACAUCGUGUUUGACAUUAUGUUCUGUGUUAGAUCCAUAUAUUUGCCAUUUUUUCAAAGUUACUUGCUAGAUGGUCAGAGUUUGCUGUUUCUAUCGCUAUGCUUACCCCAUUGCUCACAGCACCCUUGGUUAAAUGGAUAAUUAUAGCUCACCCCAAUAUACGCCAAAUUGAAGCUUCACUUCUGUCACUAUAUGUUUAUGUAAUUGGCAAAAACUUUUUGUUCACAAAUAAUAUUUAGCCAUAUAUGUACGUGAAGUCAGGGAAGGAGGGAUCGAUUUAAUUCUUUUGCAAAAAUCAAACUUUUGUCCACUACAAUUUGGAUGGGGGCUUCAUUAUUCAAACCAAAUUAAAGAAAAGAAUAUUCAAUUUCCAACAAAUUUAAUGUACAAUUUCAAAUUCAUACAAGAUGGCUACUCAGACCAUAUUUUCAUGGAGAGCUAGAUCCACCUCUUUACACAUUGAUCUUCACCAAACAAUAUUACAAUUCAACAAAUAAAAAGAAGAAGAUUAAAGAGUGAGAAAAAAACAUUUUCCAAAUUGCUAAUUAGAGUUUUAAGUAAUAAUCAUAUUCCUCCUCACAUUUUGCUAAUUUUUUUUCAACGAGAAGGAUUACCAUAAUUAUAAGCAGGCCUAUUUGAAACUUGACCAGUAUAAGAAUAGAAGUUAGAUUCAAAUCCAUUACUAGGUCUAGUAGAUGAUCCAAAGGCGACUUUGUUGACACUGCGGGAAUGUGUUAACUCCCGUGUCGAUCGUUGGUCCAAAAACUCGAAUGUUGGUGGCUGGUAAUCUGAUCGUGUUCGUCGGUGCGACGACUCAUCGUUGGCAGUGAUCAGUAGAUGGUAGCUCCUGCUUGAACCUACGGAUUGGCUUCUAUAGCUGUGGCGUGGCUUUUGCUUCUUCAUUGCAUGGAAAAGAUAAGGAAUUAAACCCUCCAUAUUAUCCUAACUUUUAUUCUUCUUUGUGUUAUAAGAGAAAAUGAAAAGCAUAUACACAAAAGUCAUAACAAAAUGUGGUUUUAUAAUAAGAUUUUGGAAGUGGGUUGGAGGAUAAUAAUGAGUUAAUGUGAGCAUAUUUUGUGAAGGAAAUAUCUGUGUAAUGUGGUUUUGGUUGGGGGUGUUUUUGAGAAAGUCCAUAUUGUAUAAAGCCAAUUGGAUACUGUGCGGUGUCAACUAUGGAGGGCGCCUAUCAAUUCAACGCAAAGACCAAGUAAUGAACAACCAACUAUUCUCUCACGAUCAAAAACAGAUAAACAUAACCAAAAUUAGAAUUUUGUUUUCAAAGAUAGUAUAUCGUUAAAAAAGGAAGAAGUUUUCAUAGUAUAGUCGUCGAUCAAGACACUCACAGAACACUACGAAAAUAAAGCAAUAACCGAUAAGAAUGAACAACAAUCAAACUCACAAAUAAACUACAUGAAUUUCUAGAAGACAAGUCUCAGUCCACUUAGAACCACAUAUAUAAAACUUUCACCCAAUAUCAAACUAAUCACCUGAGCAGACACUAAACCAGAGGUAAGGUAGAAAAAUUGUAAGCAAUGACAUCUUUUAAUUUAAUCAUUACGGAACAACUUUAACAAAAUUCAUCGAUGUUUCCUGAGAAUUGUUCGUAGCAAUCUAUUUAAAUUUUUUUGAGUGGACUUGGACUAUCGAUGCUUUUUUAUUUUAAAAAAUGAUUGUAUAUAUCUUUUGAUUAUAUGUUGUUUUCUUCAAAAUUUCAAUUAUUCUAUUAUGGUAAAUUACCGAAUCCCAAAAGCUUAAACUAUUAAUCUGGUAAACUUUUAAGGAGGAAAGCCUUUCUUAUUGACUAUAUAUUUUUUAAUUCAAUAAACGUGAUUGUUCUCCAGUAAUAUCUAGAAUGAUUUUGAGCAUUAUUUUGGAAUCUGCUAGGCAGAAGAAAAUGGAAAUAUGGAAGAGGCAAAAAGAUGAUUUUCCACUCAACCUUAAUUAAUUACUUUUCAUAUGUUGCAGAAGCAUUAGGAUCUUAUUGAAUUGACUAUAUAAUAAUGUCGUUCUCACCAAUUUACUGUUGUUUAUCUUCAUGUAAUCUCUCUUGUUGAUUGUAAUCUUUUCCCUAAUCUAAUAACCCUCAUCAAAGGGUGUGGUUAGGUUGUUACAAUCUUCUAGUUUUUUACCUUAUUGUUUCUUCUUGCCUUGUAUAAUGGUGAGUGAGCUAGGUUUGUAUUCAAGUGUGAGAAACCCUUCAACUCCAGAGCUUCAAAACCUUAUUUUGGUAUCAGAGAGACCAUGGAAAACAUCUCAAACAUAACAAAAAUCACCGAUAUUCAAUAAAACCUCCUUCCACUCUAAAGACUAAAAAGACUCGAGCAAAACCCUCACCACAAGCACCAUCGUUUGUUAAUCUGCUCAAUCAAGUGCCCACACAACGAUGCUCCCCACUGGAACCAACCUCCUGUUAUGACACUGUAAUCCCGACAUUAAAAGCUACAAACUAGAAGGACACCUAGUCUUGAAAAAUUCCGCUCCUCAAAUGUAUGUUGAGUAACUAACCUUCUCAAAUAUCUCCACAAUGAUAUGAUAUUGUUCAUAAUAUAUCUUCGUAGCUUUUGUUUUCGGUACCAUCCCAAAACGAGACAUCGAUUUGGAAUUUUGGUCAUAAAGGACAUAGGCAAAUGAGUGUACUAUGUACCUCUAUUUUGGAAAGGAUUGUCAAUUAAUUUAUUUUGAACCGACUCAAUAAUCUAUGAGCUUAAUUAUCAAAAUUGUGAAAGUUUAGCAUCGAUUUACAAAAUUAAAUUUCAAAACCAUAAAAGUUUAUAUGUAUAAUCCAAAUUAGUCAAGCAAUAAUAAUCUAAACAAUUAAUAUUUUAAAAUUUGAAGAAAAAUGUAGAUUUCAAAACUUAAAUAUUUUUUAUAACUUUGACUCAAAAGUUGUUUUUUUUUGCAAAAAAAGUUAUCAAAAUUCAAAUCCCUAAUAAUAAAUUAAUUCCCUCUCGUAUGAGCAAAAAAAUGGCGUGUAGAUGAAGUAGAAUAAAAACAAUAUGGCCGCCAUUGACAACAACCUUUAGUUAACAUUAUCUUCUCACAUGGAAGACAUUGGGAAAAUUCUACCAUAUUUCAUGUAUGAACAAACCUUUGUAAUAAUAAACUAAACAAAAAAGGAUAUGGAUCAAUAUAUAUUGAUUAAUUGUCUUGUUCUUUUCAGCUAUAAAUACAAGGCAUGUGAAAGCCAAUGAAAACCAUAUACUAGAAAGAGAGAUCAGAUUCACAUAUGGAGAUGAAAAACAAGGUUGCUUUGGUGGCCAUGGUGGUUGUGAUGGUGGUUAUGACUCGAUCAGCCACUGUCACCGCUGCCAUGGAUGAGGGGAUUGAACUCCCAACCAACGGUGAAGCAAGUUAUUAUGAUACGCCACCGCCUCCUCGUGUUUGUCCUAUUAUGAUAUUACCAUGCAAAACUGAUUCUGAGUGUUCUCCAUGCUAUUGUAACAAUGGCUCCUGCAUUUGACAAACAAAAUGAGAAGGGAAAAAGAACCAGAAGAAUGAAGUUUGUAAUUUGUAUUGAUGUUUCAUUUGUGUUUUUUCUUUUUUCUUCUUUUUUCUCUAUGUUUAAUGCAGAAUAAACCUUGCUUCUUUUUGCCCUUCAGCUUGUUGAAGUGCAAAAUAAUAUCGAUAUCCAUUACUUUCAUGUUAGUGUUGAUUAUUAUUAGUUUUUUAUACAGUUUCGUGUCAAUAAACUACUAAAGAUUAUAUUCAUGUUUAAGAUGAGGUGCACAAACAUCAAUAAAAAUAACUUUGUUAACACAAAAAUAUGCAAGUUCUAUCAAAAUAUUGAGAAAUAAUGAACUUUUCGGUAUGAACGUCAGGAAAAAUUUUGGUUGACGUUCAUUAGUCUGUCAAGAACAAAAGUUUAUAUUUUGGCCAUCAAUGAAUAAUCCCAAAAGGACACUAAGCAAUAUUGUUUUGGGUUCAUUCCUUUUCUUCUUCUUCCUCAAGCCCUUACCCUGAUGGUCUCCCGUCAAGCAGCUGUCGUGUGAAGCCCUCAUCAAGCCGCCAUCGUGAAGAAGCUACGCUCAUUACCAUCGUAAACCCCAAAUCCUCUUGGAGUUUGGUAUUAACUUGAUUGUGCUUAAAAUCGAUUGGAACUUAUACAUAGUUUUAGAAAUAUAAUAUAUAUAGAUUCAAAACUUGGGGUUUCAUAUAUUUUAUCUAAAAAUACUAUUUUGAACGUUUAAUUAUAUUACUAACAAACUAGAACUACUACUGAUAAAUUUGUGGAUAUACGAGUAGGUAUCAGUUAAAAUCAAAUGAUUAUACACACACAUAUAUAUGUCUACAUCAUGC